UCUGAAAUCUUGUGGGAUUCAUAGGUGCAUCCAUGACAAUACUCUUGCCUACAUGUUGAUGAAGUCACACUAUUGGGGGAACUGCUUCUCUUCUCUCUUCGUAGUUGGUCACAAGUGCGUUACAGACUAGACCAUCAGAAAGUAGUUGGAUUCAAUAUUCAACAAUCCAUAAACACAAAUUCAGUCUCAAGAGGGUCAAAAUGGGUCUCAUUUUGGGUGAGCUGGUGGAUUGAAGUGUACUCAAGGACAACCAGACAGGAAGCAGUGGCGAAUGCAGCAGCUGUUUGUCCAUUCAAUUUGGAAGCAUAUGCUAAUUGAAUCAAAGGAAGGUCAGCAUCACGCCCUGCUCCGCGUGCUGCUCCAGUGAGAAACCCACCACAGCCAGAGCGCCAGGCUCCUCCUCCAGUUCCUGCUCAGAGCGGUGGUGGCUCCAUCCUUGGAGGAAUUGGGACCACAAUUGCUCAAGUAUGGCUGAGAAGGCGGUGUGGGAUAAGGAAAAUGUGAAGCACUUCUGUGACAUAUGCAUGCAUGAGGUUAAUGCUGGGCAUAGGCCAUUAGGUCAUUUGAACAAAGUCGGAUGGAAGAAUGUUGCAGAAAAGUUUGAACACAUAACUGGUCGGAAACUAGAACAUUUGCAACUCAAGAAUAAAUGGGAUAGUCUGAAAAGAAGUUAUACUGUUUUUAUGGAGUUAAAAAAUGCUGCAACUGGACUUGGUUGGAAUGAUGACAAGCAGACUGUAGAUUGUUCAAAUGAAUGGUGGAACGAGCAUCUUGCGAGAUGUCACGAUCCAAGUAAUGGAAGGAAAUGCAAACAUGUUCAGUUUAGAAAACGUGGUCCGGACAACUUGGAGGUGAUGCACAUCAUGUUUGGAAGCGCACAUGUUACGGGGGCAUCUGCUUCCAUACCGGGAGAUUUGUCUGAUAGUUGCAGUGAUGAUGAAGUGCAUGAGCUUGAGAGAAGCCCCUCAAAUAUCCACAUGUCCAGUAUGCUCCAACAUAAAGGCAAGAAGCGUAAAGGCCCUUCUUCUACGUGUGCGGAUGACAAGGAAGAGAAAAGUCCAUUCUUACGUCUCUACAGGCAAACCUGCAGCAAGAUCGAAGAUGGAGUGAACAAGAUCACCAGUAGUAUAGAAGCUUCAUCGGCCCCUUAUGUGACCAGCAACAUUUCUACCCUUGCGGAGGCCUUGAGGAUGGUGAAAGAAUGUGGAGUACAGGAGAAAACUGGCCUCAUGCAUACUGCUGCAAUGGCGAUAAUGAAACCUGAUUUUAGGGAGCUCCUCGGAUUGCUGGACACAAAUGAAGGAAGACUUGAUUUGCUGCAAAGGGAGCAUGAGAUGAAGAAGUUGCCUUAAUCAUUAUGUUUGAGUCCUUGUUUGUUCGGACCAUUAUAUUGUUGUUCUUGUGCUUGCAAACCUUUAUGUUUGAGUUCUUGUUUGUUCGGACCCGUAUUUGUAUGAAACCUUUAUG
Molecule: RNA transcript, 1467 nt
Organism: Panicum hallii
Lineage: Eukaryota; Viridiplantae; Streptophyta; Magnoliopsida; Poales; Poaceae
Gene name: L10-interacting MYB domain-containing protein-like
Exons: 6
Source: RefSeq, a predicted model, not a curated record